UACGGAGGGGGCUAGCGUUGUUCGGAAUUACUGGGCGUAAAGCGCACGUAGGCGGCUUUGUAAGUUAGAGGUGAAAUCCCGGGGCUCAACCCUGGAAUGGCCUUUGAGACUGCUGGUCUUGAGUUCGAGAGAGGUGAGUGGAAUUCCGAGUGUAGAGGUGAAAUUCGUAGAUAUUGGGAAGAACACCGGUGGCGAAGGCGGCGACCUGGUCCGAUACUGACGCUGAGGCGCGAAAGCGUGGGGAGCAAACAGG
This 253-nucleotide ribosomal RNA is filed under the name uncultured bacterium. Its description in RNAcentral is "partial 16S ribosomal RNA". It matches the Rfam family "Bacterial small subunit ribosomal RNA", at positions 524 to 776 of the family's 1533-position model. The record is from RNAcentral.